This 5110-nucleotide long non-coding RNA is filed under the name Olea europaea (common olive). RNAcentral's name for it is "long non-coding RNA (OEUR_LNC007264)". Lineage: Eukaryota; Viridiplantae; Streptophyta; Magnoliopsida; Lamiales; Oleaceae. The record is from RNAcentral.
GAACUUUCAAGCAUGGCCCGAGGUCAAUAUUUCAACCACUCUCGUCUUCAAGUAUCCUCUAAAAAGUGGUCGGGCCUAAUAAUCUGGCCCCGCUACAUGCCAAAAUAUUGUCCUUGUCUCGAGACUUUUUACGUGUUUUAAUCCUCUUAUAACUCAAUUACUCUAUCUGAUGAGGAUAAGGACUUUCAAUGGUUGAAUCCUUCUACAACUUAACCAUCAACGUCUAUAAAUACAAGACAUAGCCUCAUUAUUCAGAUAUGUUUUUACAAUACAUACUUUUACAUAAUUUCCCCGUCUGACUUAAAUAUCGGAGGGCGACAAGGACGCACCUCGUUGCCUUUGUUUCAGAUACUGGAAGGCUCCGUUCGUGCUUGAUCUCAGUCCUCAAUCUCAGGAAAUCAACAGGUACAAUUUUUGCAUCAUCAGUGGCGCCGUCUGUAGGAAGCAACACAUUAACCAUGUUUUUACCACAUUCAAAAAGUCACCGGAAGGACAAUAAUUUCAGACAGUUCCUCAACCAAGAAGCUCAAAGAGAUAUUUCUGCCUUCUGAAUGAUUUCAAAGUCCAACGUAGACAAAAAGAUGUACAUAUCAAAUUAAAAUAGGGCCGAAUUCAAAAACUCAGUUCUCAGAUCCAAUCUUCUUGCUUCUGAUCUCCUUUUGAACAAACUCCAAAAUGAAGAAAGAUCACUCCAAUAAACAUCAAUGGAACUCAUAAUUCAUCGAGAUACUUCCAACAUCAGUUUACUGUUUACCUACACAAUUCAAUUUCCAUCCUCUCUUUUCUCUCUUCAUUAUUGCUCCAAACACGAAAGAUAAUAUGGGUUUCGUUUUACAAUUGGAGUUUACUGUGAAAAUCCUCGAUUCCCAUCUCUCUGUUGGCUUUUGGAGAAGAAUUUUCGUUGUUUUUCAUGCAAAACAAAAAGGACCCAAGUGGAGUAGUCGUUGGAGAACCGUGUAUCAUCUUCUGCAACUCCAAUUUGUUAGUCUCGGAAUAUAUGCCAAAAUUCAACCUGUUUUGAAUAGUGAAUUGGGCCAAAAUUUUACAUAAAUUGAGCCCAAGAAUUAGGGUAAAAUGCCUAUUCAAUAUCGGGUUGCACUAAUUUUUUUGGGCGUACUAACUUUUCAACCUACCUAAAGAUUUUUGGCCUAUUGUCUGCCUCAAUAUUGGUUUUGCCUUCCCCCAUUUUGGAUCACAGUAAUUACCUUAUGCUACAAUGCUAAAUUGGACAUACCAACACCCUAUAGUUUCUAUUUUGGGUCUCCAUUAUGGGCUUUGCAUUAUUAUUGCAUCGUUGAGCCCGGAUGAAGCAUUCCAGCUCCCUGCAUGCUUCUUUUUCUCCUUGAUCCGUUUUCUCCUCCAUUGGCUGCUACAAUUACUUUACUUAGGCCAAUUGAUAAAAAAAAAUUAAAAAUGCUAGCUGAAGUUGGAUUCCCUACCCCUCACAAUUACUUAACCGUGGCUAUUCUUUGAGAUAAUGACAUAAAUUUAGUGGCUCCAAGAAGUUAUUUGCUAUGGCAAAAUGUGAGAGAUGUUUGAAAUGUGUUGCUAUAACUUUUGAUGGUACCGUGGAUGGCAUACAAAUCUCAAUCAUCUCAAAGGAAUUAUUUUUUUGCAAGUGCACGCAAACUGGAAAUAAUGCGAAUAAGUUAAGGUUUUACCAUGAAAAUACGCAGCACUCAGCUCUAAACCCGGGUAUGUUUUCACCUAAUAGUGGUAUUCACUUUUUUAUUCUGUUGCAAAUUUAUAUUCUUCAAGCAAUUCAACUAGGGAUAUGUGACCAUGCUAGCCUUCUCAUUUUCUUAACACGUUCACAUUUUGAUAGCAAGCCAUUUAUACAUUGAUAUGGAGAGGAAAAUAUAAUGUAGUUUCACCUAGUCUAUGGGAAUAUGCAUGCACUUAAUUAUAAAAAUAUAAAAACGGAGCUUACCUUCAAGUAAAAUUCUUUGCAUUCAUCCCUUGCCUGUUGACAAUAGUUAACAAAAUGAAAAAUAUGAAUAAUUCAUGUGGAAAGUUUUACUUGGACACCAAUUCAAAACAUUUAAAUAAUUUCACAGAGUUUUACAUCACUCGAAGGCCAUAGCUUCAAGAAUUAAUCAUCAUUAUGAAAGAUGGAAACUUUGCAAUUCUAAAUUAAGAAUGCACUUAAGCAAUUGAUUUGUUAAGUUAAAUAAGUGUUGGAACUUUUAAUGAUUUUAUUGAUUUACAUUUUAAUAAACAAAGGCUAUGCAUUGAAAAUAUUAUAGAACCACUACUUGCUUAUAUCUUUUACAUUGUUACUAAUGUGGAGCAAACCAUCAUAAUUAGUUGAGAUUAGAAUAGUAGCUCAUGCGUACAUCCCAAAAUAAAUAUUAUGGAUAUUUAAAAGACACCAAUCACACAACAUACAUUAUCUGUGUUUUAAUCCUUGAAAAGCAUAUAUUUUGGUGUUAUCAAUGCUCAUGCUUAUGGUAUGAUUAUUUGGUUAUGAAUUACAAUAACAUUUGGUUCACUCACACAAAGUGCUCCAUCAAAGCCCUGUUCCAGGCAGGCACCUAAAACCUUGCUAAGCGUAGGCAUACAAAGCCCUACUCCGUGCAGGCACCUCAAGCCCUGCUCCUCGCAGGCACACAAAGCUCUGCUCCGCGCAGGCAUUUUAAAGCCCUGCUCUGCGCAGGCACCUCAAAACCCUGUUUCACGGGGUGCCUUUCUUCUUGGCACAGAAAGGGACACCGUGCGGCAGUAGUCUGCUCCGCUAGACUACCUUCCGCCUUUUCUCGGUCGCGUCGGGACGAAAGAAAAUUUGAUUGCAAUUUUGUAGAAAGCUUACAAUUGAGAAUUUGAAUACAUUGAAAGUAAAUUGAACAUUGAUUGCUGAAAACUGAACAUUACAAUUGAUGAAAGCAGAAAAUUACAAAUGCUGGUGCAGGGGGCGGACACCAGUGAGUUUGAAAGAUUUUUGAAUGACUAAUACCCCCUAUAAUAGCAUUCUGAACAAAAACCCAAGUGACGGGAGAGACGUUUAAAAGACGAGGAAUCAUACUAAUCUUUUACCAAUAUCAGAGCUAUUUUACAAUUAAAAUAACUAUUACAAUGAAACGAAAAUUACAACUCAAACUUAAAGUAAUAUUUACAAUGUGCGGCCGAAGUUGGGCAAACUGCGGCUGCGAUAGUGUCAAGGGGCUAAGUAAAGCUGCGGUCCUUGACACCCUGUCCCGUGCAGGCACCACAAAGCCCUGCUCCGUGUAGGCACCUCAAAGCCCUGUCCCAUGCAGGCACCACAAAGUCCUGCUCCGCGCAGGCACCUUAGAGCCCUGCUCCGUGCAGGCACACAAAGCCAUGCUCCGCGCAGGUACCUCAAAGCCCUGUCCCGCGUAGGCACCACAAAGCCCUGCUCCGCGCAGGCACACAAAGCCAUGCUUCAUGCAGGUACCUCAAAGUCCUGUCCCGUGCAGGCACCACAAAGCCCUACUCCGCACAGGCACACAAAGCCCUGCUCCGCCCUGUCCCUCAAAGCCCUGUCCCGUGCAGGCACCACAAAGUCCUACUCCGCGCAGGCAUACAAAGCCCUGCUCCGCAUAGGCACCUCAAAGCCCUGCUCCACGCAGGCACCUCAAAGCCCUAUCCCGUGCAGGCACCACAAAGCCCUGCUCCGCACAGGCACACAAAACCCUGCUCUGCGCAGGCCCACAAAGCCCUGCUCCGUGCAGGCACCUCAAAGCCCUAUCUCAUGCAAGCACCACAAAACCUUACUCCGCGCAAGCACACAAAGCCCUACUCCGUACAGGCACCUGAAGCCCUGCCCCGGGCAGGCAUACCAAAGUCCUAUCAAAAGCAAGCAACACAAAGCCCUAUCCCGCGCAAGCACCAAAAGCCCUGUCACAAGCAGGCACAUUAAAGCCUUGCCUUGAGUAGGUACAUCAAAGCCCUGCCCCAAGCAGGCACCUCAAAGCCCUGCCCCGAAUAGGCACCAAAGCCCUGUCACGAGCAAGCACAUCAAAAGCCUUGACCCGCGCAAGCACAAAAGCCCUAUCCAUCGCAGGCAUCAAAGUCUUGCCCCAUGCAAGCACAAAAACCCUAUCACAGGCAGGCACCAACAAAAGCCAUGUCAUGCGUAGGCACCUAAGUCUUGUCCCACGCAAGCACCUCUAAGUCUCGCAAUGCAUCAAGUAAAAAACCCAACCAUGGUCUAUCUCGAGCUUGCCAGGCUCGACCUAUUCUCAAAUUCAUCAGAGCAAAAAUCGAAAUAUUAUUUCAUGUUCGGCUCGGGGGGCCUAUCCUCGAGGUCAACAUAUUGUCAAAAACCCAGCCACAAGAGCUCAGGAUAAUAUUUCACAUUGGACUCGGGUUAUGUUCUGGAACUCAAAUUAUUGUCAAAUCCCAGCCAACAAGCUUGAGAUAAAUAUAUUCAGAAUAGGAUUGAGCUUCCACUUAGCCUCCUAUAUGAAACUUUGUCUAUUCGUCAAACUCAUUACUUCCAAAACUUUUAACGAAGCUCGAGGUCGAGGUCGAGCUCGUUCUUUUCAACUUCUAAACAAGGUAGAGGUCAAGCUCUUUCACUUCAAGUACUGAUAAAGCUUGAGGUUGAGCUGAUUCAUGCCAAAUUCUUUUACAAGGUCGAAGUCGAACUCAGUUCUCUCCAAAAUUUCAACAAAGGCAGGAUCAAGUCCUUUCUUUCAAAAUUCAUAUUAAGCCUUAAGAUCGAGCUUAUUCCUUUCAAAUUUUAAAUAGUCAAUACUUGUUAUCCUAGACCUAUGUGCUCGGGGGCCUAUCGACUCGAUAUGAGCAUGCUUAUUCUAGAACUUAAUAUACUUAUGCAUCUCAUGCAAGGAACUCUCACAUUGCGCAUGAGCUCCUGACAUGGAUGUACGGGAGCCUAUGACGUGUACAAAAAUUAUAGCCCAACCCCGAACUUUCAAGCAUGGCCCAAGGUCAAUACCUCGACCACUCUCGUCUUCAAAUAUCCUCUAAAAAGUGGUCGGGCCUCUUAAAAGUCGGGCCUAAUAAUCUGGCCCUGCUAAGGUCAGGCCCACAUGCCAAAAUAUGGUCCUCGUCUCAACACUUUUUACGUGUUUUAGUCCUCUUAUAACUCAAUUACUCUAUCUGAUGAGGAUAAGAACUUUAAAUGGUU